Molecule: long non-coding RNA, 3938 nt
Organism: Prionailurus viverrinus (fishing cat)
Lineage: Eukaryota; Metazoa; Chordata; Mammalia; Carnivora; Felidae
Exons: 2
Source: RefSeq, a predicted model, not a curated record
UCAAUUUCUUUUUUCUGGUCUCCAGCUUGCAUUUUGAUUUUUUUUCACAGUGGCUUGUAGGGAGCAAAAGUUUUAAAUUUUGUUGAGGUCCAAAUUAUCAAGUAUUUAUUUUAUAUUGUGUGCUUUUUGUGUGUCCAGUUGAAGAAAAUCUUUGCAUCAGCCAAGCCCGGAUAGAAACGGGCUCCAUGAAGAAUGAAUGAGUUGACAACAUGCCGUCCAAUUCUGCAUCUGGAGCAAGCACAGGAAUUUAUUACAAGCAGUAGCCAGAUCUUUUUUUUGGACAUGCGAUAAUCUUUUAUUCUGUUUUAUGUGAAAGUUAAAAGCUAAAGAAUGCCAUUUGCAGACCUUCAGCAACUUCUAGCUCAGCGUUAGAAAUUCAUUGCAGAAGAAGGAGAACUUUGAUAUAGGGCCAGCACAAUGACAUCCAGCGCCCAGAUCUUAAUUUCCGAAUUGAUUCUUCAGCUCGGUACCUGCUCUGUUUGCAGGAAUGACAGACCAAACAUCCAGAAGUAGAUUUCAAUGCAUGGAAGUAGCUGAGAGAUUCCAGCUGGGAAAAAAAAAUUAAGUGAACCCCACACCCACACACAUCACAUAUAAAGCCACUCCCAUCAUUUUUUAUCGCGGAUCUUCUGCUCUGACAAAAGAUUGGCUUCAAAGAAGAGGACUGCUUACAUUUCAAAUUAACAUGACUGUUGAGAAAUCCUAUGGUGGCUUGAAUGGACUCUGGCAAGGCGAAUUCACGAAAGUCCCAGGGGACCAGUCUGACAUUUGCCCACUUGUCAGGCAGGAGGUUCCAAGCAAGAGAAGUCCUCCUGAACAAGGUCAGUGGGAACAUCCCUUAGUCUGGCAGCAAACAGUGAUGAUGAGACAGGAAACAGGGCCCAGAACGAAACCGUAACCUUGACUAGAGAGACAAGACUUGUGCUCCUGCCCUGGAGUCUCCGCUGAAUACUUUUUGGGACGGCCAAAGCGGCACUUGGGUGGAGGGUCAGGGAGGCUACACUCCUGUCGUAUGUGCAGCUGCAGGGCUCUAGGAUGGGCACCCCUCAACCUCCCAGCCCCCUGGUGGGCAGCGGGCACGUCUUUGGUUGGCUGGAGCUUUGGAGAAGGGGCCCAAGCAACCCCAAAGUGGUUUGCUACUGGGACAAGGGGAGAGAGAAGACUGGUGGGUUUUAUUUUAUAUUUCCACACAAAUCUUCCCAUUCCUAUGUUUCAACUAUUGUCCAUGACCUUCAGAAUCAAGGCCCACCUGUUCAGGGUGCCCAACAGGGCCCCAGAUGGUACAGAUUCCCCUGAACUCUCUGAGCUGUCUGUCAUCCACUCUCCCCUUCUCCAGAGUCCAUCCCACCUGGUUAUCUUCCCUGGUCACCUGCUGCUGGGCCCUUCCUUCCACUGUGUGUGCACCCUGUCUUCCCCCAUCCCUUCCCCUCACCUGAAUCUUGAUUCUCAGGUCUUGGUUUCUAUGUCACCUCCUUUCCCUGGGCUUUCCCCACCCACCCCUCCACCCACCUGCCUGGGUCAGGUGGCCAUUUUCAAGGUCCCGGGAUCCCCUGAAUCUUCCCUGUCAUGUAUUCUGCCCAAUCACAUCUUGGCCCCUUGUUUCUCUUCCUCUCCGUCAUGGGGAGCCGGUCUUCCCGAGGGCAGGGGCUGCGCAUCCUUCCCCUUCCAGUCUUCCGCACCCACUCCUUGCUCAGCAAAGGGGAGAGUAUCAGCCCCUGUAGGCCCAAGGGUCACGUGUUCUGCUUUUUAAGUUGAUCUUUUCGAGUUCAGCUGUGUAGAAGGAAGAGUUUUGAGAGCAUAUGGUUGGAGAAGUCCUAAAUCAUCUUAGAAAAUGCUUACGUCAUUGUGUGUGCAUCGCUGGUGGGAGUACGGGGGUGACAGUGCUGGGGGCUCAGAAUGAAGUGAGGGGCGUGGCCCUGGAAGGUGGGGGAGAUCUGCGUCACAAGGACUCCCCAGGCCCUCACCAUGCAGGGGUGUGAGCAGAGCUGGGUUCCAGCCGCUAUCUGACUGCACCUGGGCCUCCAGGUGAGAGCCCAGCCCACGCCUUGGUUUCCACCUUGUGAGACCUGAGCAGAGACCAGCUGAGCCAAGCUGUGCCUGGACCCCAGACCCACGGAGAGUGUGAUGUAAUCGGUGGGUGCUGUCUUAAGCAUGAUCAGCCUGUGGAGAUCUGCUAACACAACCAUAAGGCACUCACACAGGUGAGCACUGCUGUCUCCCCAAAAUGGUCAGGUCCCUGGUGCUGCCACCCUGUGCCCGCCACAUCCCAGGCUUCUUCCCUCCUCCACCAAAGGAGACACUGCGUGCCAUGCAGCAUGGUGAGGAUUGCCAACGUUAGUGGUCUUGCAACUCAGUUAGUGCAUAUCUUUAGUUUUCCUUUCCCCGUGGAAGAUGAACCAUGAGAGAGUCUAACAUGGAUGGUAGCUCAGUAAAACCAUAUGACAAAAAGCAAAAGCCAGCUGGUCCACAUUUGUUCCAAAGGGGGCUGUCUUGGCUCCUUUGGUCCCUGUUAGCUAUCUUAUCAAGUGAUUCGUUGUCAUGAUCAUGGUGAUUUAGGGUCACGGGAUGAAUUCCCACAGGAGGAGUGUUUUGUAUAAAUUCAUUCUCUUUUUUACUAGACUCCAUUUCAUGAGGUUUCUGUAACUUUCAGUCACAAUACUCUAGGGCACCACUGAAAUACAGAUGCAGUAAAUUCAAAUGAACCAUUCUGGACUGUGUAAAUCGAGUUUGCCCUAAUAACCAUCCUUGUAGUGUUGACGUCUCUGGGCAUAAUGAGCCCCAUUGCAUUACAGGAGCCCCAGCCGCAUCUUGGGCGGAAGGCAGACUUCAUCUGUGUUCGUCUUCUGUGCUUCAUAAUUUCAUUAGGAGGACUGCUUCUAAGUCAAGUCAUCUCCAAUGCCAUUGUCCAGGCUGUUAGCAAAUUCGCAUCAUAACCCUUUUCUUCAUCCACCUGCCAGAGGCUUAGUGCAAGCCCUCCUGUCCACAGGAAAACGUGCGUGGUGACAGGAGACACAUGUUCUCCGUCGGACUCCUGAGCACUUAGCAGGUGACCCUUUGUUGUGAUUCCCUGUCCCCCCCUCAGGUCUAAUUACUCCAUAUGUCUUUCCAUAUUUUGGCUGAUCUACAAUUGUAGUUCUCAUUAUCAUUUUGUGGGUUGUGAUGCUAUUUCCUCCAGUUUCAUUCUCUCUUUUAUGUUUCUCUUGUACAAAAUUAAUUACAUUGUACCUUCAAGCAUAAUUUUAACACUGUCUCCAUUGCAAUGUGUCUGCCUUUAAUUAAUGCUCUUCUAAUGUAGAUUUUAGAGCCAAAUGGUGCCAUAUUCUGAGCAUCAAAGAAACAAAGGAUCUAACAAAACUACGAUGAAUGAGCAAGACAAAACAGCUGACAAUGUAUUCUCACUGAAAAUGUCACUUGUGCUGUAUGUUGGGUAGCAGGACGGAUUACUCGGGGCUUUGUCUUCUUAAAGACGAGACAAGAGAAGUUGACUGCAGAAGUUGGACGCUGUUGGCCUGGGCUCCGUUUCAACUUAUACUGGUCAAACAUCUCAAGGGGAAUGAACAGAACACAACGUUCUCACGGCUCAGGCUCAGGCUCAGGGGGUGGAGCCCACAAAUACAUUGCUUGGACAUUUUCUAUAGAAUAGAAAGGAUAAAUCCCCCAUCCUGAACUUCAGUCUAUGCUUUUCAUGUCUCAAAGGCUCCUCUCAUGCUCGGCCCCUUUGGUGUUCCCACUCCAAAGGCAGAGCCAUCUCUUUGGGUUACUGUACAGAAGUUUCACAAAAAGAAAACCAAACACAGUCGACACGAACUUCUAUCCACCAGGAGGGAGUGCUUUGAAAAUGUGUGCGUGUGUGUGUGUGUGUGUGUGUGUGUGUGUGUGUGAAUUUGCAGCAAUAAAUAUGUACCCUCUCUAAAAUACACCAUUUAUAUUGGUUUGGA